CCUUAGUAACGGCGAGUGAAGCGGCAAAAGCUCAGAUUUGAAAUCUGGUGUUUUCAUAGACAUCCGAAUUGUAAUCUGUAGAGGAGUUUUCGGAGGAUCACUAUGGUUAAAGUGCCUUGGAAAAGGACAUCAUAGAGGGUGAGAAUCCUGUUUAUGGCCUUAGUACUUCUUCAUUAUGAAUCUCCUUCAAUGAGUCGAGUUGUUUGGGAAUGCAGCUCUAAAUGGGUGGUAAAUUCCAUCUAAAGCUAAAUAUUGGCAAGAGACCGAUAGCGCACAAGUAGAGUGAUCGAAAGAUGAAAAGAACUCUGAACAGAGAGUUAAAGAGUACGUGAAAUUGUUGAAAGGGAAGCACUUGUGACCAGACAAAUUUGCAAUUAAUCAGCCAUCAGUUUUUUGGUGGUGCACUUAAUUGUGAGUGGGUUAGCAUCAGUUAUGAUAAUGGGAAAAAGACUGAAGAAAUGUAGCUCCUCUUUGAGGAGUGUUAUAGGCUUUGGUUUAAUACUGUUUAUUGUGACUGAGGAUUGCGCUUUUAGUAAGGAUGCUGACAUAAUGGUCAUAAGUGACCCGUCUUGAAACACGGACCAAGGAGUCUAACAUCUAUGCGAGUGUUUGGGUCAAAGCCCUUACGCGGAAUGAAAGUGAAUGAANGUGGGAACCAUUUGGUACACCAUCGACCGAUCCUGAUGUUUUCGAAUGGAUUUGAGUAGGAGCAUAGCUGUUGGGACCCGAAAGAUGGUGAACUAUGCC
RNAcentral lists this ribosomal RNA (747 nucleotides) under Amylascus herbertianus. RNAcentral describes it as "partial large subunit ribosomal RNA". It matches the Rfam family "Eukaryotic large subunit ribosomal RNA", at positions 78 to 837 of the family's 3401-position model. The record is from RNAcentral. Lineage: Eukaryota; Fungi; Ascomycota; Pezizomycetes; Pezizales; Pezizaceae.